This 505-nucleotide ribosomal RNA is filed under the name uncultured bacterium. RNAcentral describes it as "bacterial SSU rRNA". It matches the Rfam family "Bacterial small subunit ribosomal RNA", at positions 15 to 507 of the family's 1533-position model. The record is from RNAcentral.
GAUCAUGGCUCAGGAUGAACGCUAGCUACAGGCUUAACACAUGCAAGUCGAGGGGAAACGAUAGAGAAAGCUUGCUUUUUCUAGGCGUCGACCGGCGCACGGGUGAGUAACGCGUAUCCAACCUGCCCAUCACUUGGGGAUAACCUUGCGAAAGUAAGACUAAUACCCAAUGACGUCUCUAGAAGACAUCUGAAGGAGAUUAAAGAUUUAUCGGUGAUGGAUGGGGAUGCGUCUGAUUAGCUUGUUGGCGGGGUAACGGCCCACCAAGGCGACGAUCAGUAGGGGUUCUGAGAGGAAGGUCCCCCACAUUGGAACUGAGACACGGUCCAAACUCCUACGGGAGGCAGCAGUGAGGAAUAUUGGUCAAUGGGCGAGAGCCUGAACCAGCCAAGUAGCGUGCAGGAUGACGGCCCUAUGGGUUGUAAACUGCUUUUAUAAGGGAAUAAAGUGGGAGUCGUGACUCUUUUUGCAUGUACCUUAUGAAUAAGGACCGGCUAAUUCCGUG